RNAcentral lists this non-coding RNA (26 nucleotides) under Cricetulus griseus (Chinese hamster). The record is from RNAcentral. Lineage: Eukaryota; Metazoa; Chordata; Mammalia; Rodentia; Cricetidae.
AAGCAUGUGACUCUGUUCUCUUACAU